AAGGGCACCAGAUGCCCAGGGGUUUGGAAUCCGAAGGAAGGCCAGCGCACCUCCAGAUGAGGCACCAUCACGGAAUCUUCCAGAAGCAAAGUGGGGAGGCUGUGAGACUGCGUGGAUCUGAAGGCCACGGAGACAGGAUAAGUGCCAGCCGUCCCCGGCCCCCCAAGCAGUCACGCUGGGCUGUGGCUCCCUCUCCAGGGACCGCAUGGACGGCAGGGCCACAUCCUCUGGUCCCCACCCCGAGAGGCCCCAGCCAGAAGGGGGCCACAGACCCAAGACGCUGCAGGAGGAACGGCACCCAAGCCAAGCACCGCAGUGGGGGAGGGGGCGGAGAGGGGCACCCCCCCAUCAGACCCACUCCUCUGUCUCUUGCCGGAAUGACUUCCCAGCUAAACCGGAGAGCCAUGUGACAUUAUCACCAAGGUAAAUACAUCACUACAGCAGGGGGCAGGUUUAAAAGCUGGUUAUUUAUCCAACCAGCCGGAAACACGGCCGCGAAACCAUCCCCCUCUGACAGGUGAGCGGAGGUGGGAUUGCCUUUCAAACAUGUAUUUACACGUCGCUCAGUUGGGUCAGUAUCUAUUUGAAAGCGCACGUUUUCAGGAGACUUUGUGCAGGGGGAGGGGGCCUGUUGGUCCUGGGCCUGGAGGUUGUCCCCGACGGCAUCCCGAUGACAGCGGCCACCUGUUCCGGAAGAGCUUCCCUCCGGGCAGAGCAGGGUUUUCAGGGACCAGGGCUGUGUCUAGAAACGCAGUUUGGAUUCAUUCAUUACCCGUUUAAAGACCCUCCUGCCACAUGAAGUCUCACCGGAGGGACCAGGGCUGCGACGUUAAGGCUUGAACUUGAGGGCAACGCAGCUCAGCCUGUAACAGGUUCCUUCUGCAUACGCGCCUGGCCCGGGGAGGGAAGGGUGUCUUGAGAACCGUGCCCGGGGCCUGUUCUCAGAGCUCUCCUGGUUCUGCCCACUGGCUAAUUUCUCUUUAAGGAUAAAUAGGCCAGAGGGUGAUUAUUUAUUUAUUUAUUUUGCUUUUUAGGGCUGCGCCCAUGACAUAUGGAGGUUCCCAGGCUAGGGGUUGAAUCAGAGCUGCAGCUGCCAGCCUGCACCACAGGCACAGCCACGCCAGAUCUGAGCCUCAUCUGCAACCUACACCACAGCUCUUGGCAAUGGGGGGCCAGGGAUCGAACCUGCAUCUUCAUGGAUACUAGUUGGGUUCGUUACCACUGAGCCACAAUGGGAACUCAUGCAGACGGUGAUUUUUAAAUACUACUAAAUAAAAUAAAUGCUUCAGACAAGGGAAAUUGGCACAACAUUAUGUCAGCUAUAAUUUAAAAAAAAAAUCUUAAUUCCUCAAAGGCAGAAAGAAUAUUCCAGAAAGUCUCAGACUUGAAAACCUGUCCUGUUAAGAGAGGCAACCAGCCGGUUUCCAGGGUCAGUGCUACAUGCCCCACAGUGGGGCUGGGGCCUGGGGAGUGGGAGAGGGCAGCCUGGCUUCAGGGACCAGGGCAUGGCAACCCCGCGCCCCCCCCCCGCCCACGGGCACCCCUCUACAGCCUCAUUAGCAGCCCCCCUCCACUCUUGGGGCUGUUGUCCUGCUCUGGGAGCAGCGAUGGCUCUUCCCCGGGGUCACGCAGGCAGGAGGCCUGUGCCUUUCUGACAUGUGUCAGGUCAAAUCACCAGCUCUCCUGAAAACAUCUCCCUCAUCUGUCACCCUCGCCUCCGGCCACCUCAUGCCAGCAGUGGACAGAGACACUGACAGCUCCCUAAUGAUGCCAGGCAGGCGCCCCCAUAGCACUGCCCUUCCGGCUCACCAAAGGCCAGCGGGCCCGUCAUCACGAAGGUCACGGUCGGCGGGGCCUGCACCCCUGCUUUCGAACAAAGCACAACCGAAAGCCAGCAGCCAGGGUGGCGUGGCUGGGAGGGAGGUGGACCCUCGCUUUCCCGCCGGCCCAUCCGUUCCAGGCUGCGGAGGAAAAAGGAGGCACCUGCUCCCCAGGGGUCUGCAGCGUGUCAGCCCCUCUGAACUUCUGGUCGACCACCGUGUGCACAGCCCAGCCCGCGUUUUCUGUACCACUGUUGCCCCUUUGGUCUUGUUUAUAUCAUCUUCGCAGCCACGUGGGCCUUUCAAAUCCUGCACCAAGACAGAGACGCACGCUCCAGCCCCUCCAUGCCCCCGCCCACUCCUGAAUGCUCCCUGCUAUUGCACGAGCCGGCCUUCCAGAAGGUUCCUCCACUGGCUACACUGUCCCUGACCCUCACAUGGGCAGCGGAACGGGCACCCAGGUGUCUGCGUUCUGGCAGCUGCUACUGCCGGGCAGACGGGCAGGCCUUCCUUCCCAACGGGGCCCCUCAGCUCACCUCUGCCCCCUCUCUCUUUUGGUGCCCCCACCCCUGGGAGAUUGUGGGACAAGAGGGCAGCAAAAUGAAGAGGCACCGAGUGUGGCUGGGUGCACAGUGAACGGGGGAGAGGGGGGUGCCGGCCCCGAGCAGCCGGGAUGGGAUCAGGUCUCCCCCGGCCCGUCUGGAAGGAUGCAGCAAAAGAUGGCACCCCCAGCAGUGGUGGUGGCUGGACUGAGAACCUUGGUGGGAGGCAACUGGGAGGCCAGGAUGCUGGCACCAAAGCCCUGCAGAAAGGACGAUGCUGAAAAGCAGAGGGGAAGGAAGUGGGAGGGGCUUGGUGGGUGGGGAGUGGGGGACAAAGAGGAAACCCUCUCUGGCCUUACUGGGCCCUGGAGAGGAGCAGAGGGCAAAGGCAGGGCCCUGGCCCCGUCCUUCCCCCAGCCCCAUGGCCCCCCGAGGCAGCCUGGCCCCUCUGCCUCUUGGGGGACCACCAGGCACACCGCUUGGCCACUGCCACUCUGGGUGCCCCACUGAUUUGUUCUAAAGUGGGGCCGAGGGGACCACACACAGCACAGAGGACGUCAGGGAGAGGCUUGGCUGAAACGAGAGCCCUUGGCUGGCCCCCCAGGUCCCCCAGGGCUGGGCACACACCCACGUGUGCAGUCCAGGCUCCAAGCAAAGCAGGGAGCCAGGGCAUUGGUGCCCGGUGCCCAGAUGCUGCCCCUGGGCACACAGAUGGGACUCGCUGUCCAGAAACAUCCUCAAUAGCCCAGCCUCCAGCACGACGCCCUUCUGAGUUCACUGGGCUCCGUCACAGCGAAAUCGACACCCUAAGGUGCCAUCUCUCCUUUUCCCGUUAUUCCUCAGUGCAAUUGGCCAGGAGGAGACUUGCAGUGGAAUGAAAACUGUUAAAAAAAAUACCUGGCCCUGGGAGUUCCUGCUGUAGCUCCGUGCGUUAAGAAUCCGACUAGUAUCCAUGAGGACUCAGGUUCGAUCCCCAGCCUUGCUCGGUGGGUUAAGGAUCUCGCAUUGCUGUGGCUCUGGUGUAGGCCGGCGGCUAUAGCUCUGACUUCACCGCUAGCCUGGGAACUUCUAUAUGCUACAGGCGUGGCCCUAAAAAGCCAUAAAUUAAAAUAAAUAAAUAGCUAAUCCUAUUUUAAAACAUAAAGACACGGCUUCUAAUAUUUCAUCAGUAAGUAAAAUGCUUGCUAUCAGUUUUGUAGACAACCAUUAUUAUUUGAUAAAACUAUUUAAAAUGACUAUUCAGGAGUUCUCAUUGUGGCUCGGUAGGUUAAGAAUCUGACUAGUAUCCAUGAGGAUGUAGGUUCGAUCCCUAGCCUCGCUCAGUGGGUUAAGGAUCUGGCAUUGCUCUGAGCUGCCGCAUAGGUCACAGAUGUGGUUCGGAUCCCACGUGGCUGUGGCUGUGUCAUAGGGCAGCAGCUGCAGCUCCACUUCAACCCCUAGCCCCAGAACUUCCAUGUGCCAUGAGCGUGGCCAUAAAAAAGAAUAGCAAUCCUGAGAAACAAAAACCAAGCAGGAGGCAUAACUCUCCCAGACUUCAAGAAAUACUACAAAGCCACAGUCAUCAAAACAGUGUGGUACUGGUAUCAAAACAGACAGACAGACCAAUGGAACAGAAUAGAGAAUCCGGAAAUUAACCCUGACACCUAUGGUCAAUUAAUCUUUGACAAGGGAGGCAAGAACAUAAAAUGGGAAAAGGAAAGUCUAUUCAGCAAGCAUUGCUGGGAAACCUGGACAGCUGCAUGCAAAGCAAUGAAACUAGAACACACCCUCACACCAUGCACAAAAAUAAACUCCAAAUGGCUGAAAGACUUAAAUAUACGACAGGACACCAUCAAACUCCUAGAAGAAAACAUAGGCAAAACACUCUCUGACAUCAACAUCAUGAAUAUUUUCUCAGGUCAGUCUCCCAAAGCAAUAGAAAUUAGAGCAAAAAUAAACCCAUGGGACCUCAUCAACCUGAAAAGCUUUUGCACAGCAAAGGAAAC
RNAcentral lists this long non-coding RNA (4347 nucleotides) under Sus scrofa (pig). RNAcentral's name for it is "lncRNA (ENSSSCG00000059208.1, ENSSSCG00130039937.1)". Lineage: Eukaryota; Metazoa; Chordata; Mammalia; Artiodactyla; Suidae. The record is from RNAcentral.